CCUACGGGAGGCUGCAGUGAGGAAUAUUGGUCAAUGGGCGAGAGCCUGAACCAGCCAAGUAGCGUGAAGGAUGACUGCCCUAUGGGUUGUAAACUUCUUUUAUAUGGGAAUAAAGUGCGGUACGUGUACUGCUUUGCAUGUACCGUAUGAAUAAGGAUCGGCUAACUCCGUGCCAGCAGCCGCGGUAAUACGGAGGAUUCGAGCGUUAUCCGGAUUUAUUGGGUUUAAAGGGAGCGUAGGCGGGUUGUUAAGUCAGUUGUGAAAGUUUGCGGCUCAACCGUAAAAUUGCAGUUGAUACUGGCAUGCUAGAGUACAGUAGAGGUAGGCGGAAUUCGUGGUGUAGCGGUGAAAUGCUUAGAUAUCACGAAGAACUCCGAUUGCGAAGGCAGCCUACUGGACUGCAACUGACGCUGAGGCUCGAAAGUGUGGGUAUCAAACAGGAUUAGAUACCCUUGUAGUC
This 460-nucleotide ribosomal RNA is filed under the name uncultured bacterium. RNAcentral describes it as "partial 16S ribosomal RNA". It matches the Rfam family "Bacterial small subunit ribosomal RNA", at positions 338 to 795 of the family's 1533-position model. The record is from RNAcentral.